UAUUGGUCAAUGGGCGGGAGCCUGAACCAGCCAAGUCGCGUGAGGGAUUAAGGCCCUACGGGUCGUAAACCUCUUUUGCCGGGGAGCAAGGCGGCGGACGUGUCCGCCGUUUGAGAGUACCUGGAGACAAAGCAUCGGCUAACCCAGUGCCAGCAGCCGCGGUAAUACGGAGGAUGCGGGGGUUAUCCGGAUUUAUUGGGUUUAAAGGGUGCGUAGGCGGGCUUUUAAGUCAGCGGUAAAAAUUCGGGGCUCAACCCCGUCCGGCCGUUGAAACUGGGGACCUUGAGUGGGCGAGAAGAAGGCGGAAUGCGUGGUGUAGCGGUGAAAUGCAUAGAUAUCACGCAGAACCCCGAUUGCGAAGGCAGCCUUCCGGCGCCCUACUGACGCUGAGGCACGAAAGUGCGGGGAUCGAACAGG
RNAcentral lists this ribosomal RNA (417 nucleotides) under uncultured bacterium. RNAcentral describes it as "bacterial SSU rRNA". It matches the Rfam family "Bacterial small subunit ribosomal RNA", at positions 362 to 776 of the family's 1533-position model. The record is from RNAcentral.